This 752-nucleotide ribosomal RNA is filed under the name Terriera sp. RNAcentral describes it as "SSU rRNA". It matches the Rfam family "Bacterial small subunit ribosomal RNA", at positions 374 to 1191 of the family's 1533-position model. Lineage: Eukaryota; Fungi; Ascomycota; Leotiomycetes; Rhytismatales; Rhytismataceae. The record is from RNAcentral.
CAGCAAUUUGGCAAGAACCGGUGUACUUUGUAUACUAUACGGACUACGUCCAAUAAAGUUCUGGAUAUAAAACUGAGAUAUGACAAAUUUAUAUUAUUAGUCUUGACCAAAUUACGUGCCAGCAGUCGCGGUAAUACGUAGAAGACAAGUGUUAGUCAUCUUUAAUAGGUUUAAAGGGUACCUAGACGGCAAGAUUAACCUGCAAAGGAAAUGGUUUUGCUUGAGUUUUAUAUGAGAAGGGGAGUAUUUACGGAGUAGAGAUGAAAUUCUUUGAUACCUUAAGGACUGGCAAGGGCGAAAGCGACCUUUUAUGUAAAAACUGACGUUGAGGGACGGAGGCUUAGACAGCGAACAGGAUUAGAUACCCUAGUAGUCUUUGCAGAGAAUGAUGAAUGCCAUAGAUUAGAUUUUUUCUGGUUUAUAAAUGAAAGUGUAAGCAUUCCACCUCAUGAGUAAUGUGGCAACGCAGGAAUUGAAAUCAUUAGACCGUUUCUGAGAACAGUAGUGAAGUAUGUUAUUUAAUUCGAUAGCCCUCGAAAAACCUUACCACAACUUGAAUAUAGCAUAAAGCCCGUAGGUCAAAAAACUUACUAUGCUAAACAAGUGUUGCACGGUUGUCUUCAGCUAAUGUCGUGAGAUUGUGGUUAGCUCCAUAAAAUUAGCGGAAACCCCGGCUUUAUUUUUAAAUUUUUUAUCAUAAAGCAGUUCAUCAUUAUAUAGAAUAAUCGUGAUAACAGGGACCAAGACAAAUC